RNAcentral lists this ribosomal RNA (492 nucleotides) under uncultured bacterium. RNAcentral describes it as "partial 16S ribosomal RNA". It matches the Rfam family "Bacterial small subunit ribosomal RNA", at positions 29 to 507 of the family's 1533-position model. The record is from RNAcentral.
AGUGAACGCUGGCGGUAGGCCUAACACAUGCAAGUCGAACGGCAGCACAGUAAGAGCUUGCUCUUACGGGUGGCGAGUGGCGGACGGGUGAGGAAUACAUCGGAAUCUACUUUUUCGUGGGGGAUAACGUAGGGAAACUUACGCUAAUACCGCAUACGACCUACGGGUGAAAGCAGGGGAUCUUCGGACCUUGCGUGAUUGAAUGAGCUGAUGUCGGAUUAGCUAGUUGGCGGGGUAAAGGCCCACCAAGGCGACGAUCCGUAGCUGGUCUGAGAGGAUGAUCAGCCACACUGGAACUGAGACACGGUCCAGACUCCUACGGGAGGCAGCAGUGGGGAAUAUUGGACAAUGGGCGCAAGCCUGAUCCAGCCAUACCGCGUGGGUGAAGAAGGCCUUCGGGUUGUAAAGCCCUUUUGUUGGGAAAGAAAAGCAGCAGGUUAAUACCCCGCUGUUCUGACGGUACCCAAAGAAUAAGCACCGGCUAACUUCGUG